Anas platyrhynchos (mallard) is the source of this 2372-nucleotide long non-coding RNA. RefSeq lists it as uncharacterized. NCBI's taxonomy places the organism in Eukaryota, Metazoa, Chordata, Aves, Anseriformes, Anatidae. The record is from RefSeq and is a predicted model, not a curated record.
ACCCUCCGUUAGCAAAGACAGGUGCUUUUGUGACGCCCGAGGCGCCUGCAGCAGGGUAAACGUUUACCCUGGAGAAACCUGUGUUUAGCCUGAUAACUCCCCUGCAGUUGGGGAGAAGAGAUGAAUGGUUGAGGAGAUAGGGACAGGGGGAGGGCACAGGUGGAGCUUCUUAAAGCUUCCUUUUAAAGUGCGUCCUGCGGCGUGAAUGGAUGGGAUGUCUGUACAUCUGACAGAUCACUGGAAGACAGAGAGCAAAAGAAGUAGAGAGCCACUUGUCCAGCCGUGGUGUGAAGGUUUGGGUGAGACCGAUGGGGCCGUGUGGUGCUGGGACAUCCACAGGCACUGACUUCAGCAGGAUCAGUGCUGGCCUAAGAGCAUGUCACAAAACCACGUGUGGGGUGGAAGCGAAGAGUUAGGGAGCAACAGCCUGGAGUUUCAAGGGCAAAUGACAGCAGAAGAGAGCAUCUGCUGCGUCAUCUGUAAUGUCUGGGCAGCGCUGCUCAGAGUCUAGAAUUAAACCAAAAGGAUGUGGGUCUUACUGGCAGUUUAAGUAUCUCAUUCAUAGAGGAAAUGGUGUCUCAUUCAUACAGUUAUGAGAAGCGACUCAGCUUCUCCAUCUGUAAGUAAAAGGCAAAUUUCCUGUAAUGCUGUUCCCUGCAGCAUCUCGGCUUCCUAGGCUAACACCCAAGUGCUGAUGAGAUCUGGUUAUGUCUCAAUUGAACUUUGUGGCAGUUUGACUUCAUUUGGGGAUCUUCCUGAUGUAAUUUGGGAUCUGCCUGAUGUCUUUUACUCUUGGAGAGAAUCGAAUGAAGUGUUUCGAACAAUUCAUGUAGGAAAAGAUUUUCCUUGGUUGCUGCACCUGAGGUUUGCUCAAAGGCAGCAAGAUCUCGGAGCUGGCCAUGCCCCAGUGCGAUGUCUGCCUGAGGGACAGCAAACGGAGUGCAGUGACCCUCAGCCCAGCACUUGCUGUGAUCUGCGUGCCCGCAGGGCUGCUCUGAGGACAUCUGGAGCUCAGUGCGGACCUCUUAAGCAUCCAUCGAGAUGAGCACGGAUAUUGGUGGAGACUUCAGCCUGCAGCACUCUCGCGGCUCUCAGCAACAGGGAUAGCACACGAGGGGGAGAGAAAGCACCAAAGGGAUUUUUUUCAUUGAUUUCCAACUCUCAGCCUCCCAGUUUGGAAAUUUGAUCAAAAUACUGAAAGUUGAGAAUAAUGCCAUCAGCUGUAUGCACGAGAUGAGGACUCUAGUAAGAUACUUGAAUCCAUGUUGAAAACCCCAAAUUAUUCUUUCCAGAGCCCGGUGGAAAUGAAACAUACGAAAAAUAAAAUGAAAGCAUCUGAUAUUUUUGAAGUGAAACAUUUCCACUCAUCAGUUUGGAACAACUUUUAUAUUUAAAGGCUUGUUAAAUUUCCUGUUAAGAAACCACACGCAGAUCUUAAAAUCUAUCAUUGAAAAAUAAUAACCAGCUCCAUUCUGGGUCAAAUAAAUGUUUCAGUAAGAAAACACAGAGGUAAAGUUGUUUCUUUUUGUUAGAGUAAAAGACUUAGCUCGGCUAAAAAAACACGUCUGCCAAAGGCUUGCUUGGUGCCCCUAUUGCACAGGUCUGCACCUUUUCUCCCAAAUUUUAAGCCCAGCCAAGGCAGCCUCUGCUACUGCCGCGCCUCCAGACAACUGCCAGUGAGGUGAUGCAUCACUGGGUAAGAUAGACAGCGGGCUGAAAUUGGCAGUUUGAUUUACUGAAAUAGUUUCAAAUCAAUUGUUCUGCUAUUCAACUAAUUCUUGAUUGCAGUGUUACAUGGAUCAGAAAGGCACGGAAUAAAUUAUAAGCUUUGCUACAUGUUCCAGGCUCUCCAUUUCAGUAAUCACAUUGCAGCUGGCCCCACAUCACCAAGUAAGAGCUAAGAUCAAACAAUGAUACCGGACACGAAAUAUCUUCUCAGGUUUAAUACCGUAAUUGCUCUGUUUUCAGGGCUUGAAAUGCCUCUUCAGUGGGCAAAUGUGAGUCAUCUGCCCCUGGGCACAGCUAGUUGGAUACAUUUCAGCAGUACUUUUGAAGAACAGAUCAAUUUAGAAGGGAUAUUGUAACCUGGGAACCAGCCAAGAGACUUCUUCUAUCUGUGAUUGUGCUUGACACUCGUAAUGAAACAAAAUUCAGAUCACCGCAAUAAAUUUGCAAACAGUGAGUCUUCCAAAAGAAAAAAUGCUUAGCAUUUCCCACAAGACCCUACAAAUUCAAUCUGCAUAAGCUCCAAAAUAAGUGUAUUUUCUACCUUAAACUAAUACUUGGCAGGAACUUUCAAUUGGCUCAUUUAAUUAAGCUGGUGUGCAGAUCCCAUUUUAAUGUAUUUAAUGCUGCUAAAAUGACAGGCAUAC